Molecule: small RNA, 618 nt
Filed under: Pan troglodytes (chimpanzee)
Lineage: Eukaryota; Metazoa; Chordata; Mammalia; Primates; Hominidae
Description: processed transcript
Source: RNAcentral
GUCCAGGGAUCCAGUGAGAGACACAGAAGUGCUAGAAGCCACUCCUCGUGAACUAAGGAGAAAAAGAACAGACAAGGGAACACCCUGGACAUGGCAUCAGAGAUUCACAUGACAGGCCCAAUGUGCCUCAUUGAGAACACUAAUGGGCGACUGAUGGCGAAUCCAGAAGCUCUGAAGAUCCUUUCUGCCAUUACGCAGCCUAUGGUGGUGGUGGCAAUUGUGGGCCUCUACCGCACAGGCAAAUCCUACCUGAUGAACAAGCUGGCUGGAAAGAAAAAGGGUGAGUGGCAUGAGCAAAGCUCUGCCAAGUCCCUUCUGUCCAUCUACACAGUCAGCCUCUAUUAUGAGGAUGUGAGGAGAGAAAGAGAUGAGGAUGAAUACUGAAAGCUAACUUUCCAUUCACAGUCGGGCUCCUUAUCUUCAUGCUGUUCUAGGGGAUAAGAAUCAAUUCAUUAAUUAUUCCCAUGAUACCUUAGUUUCCAUUUCAAAAGCACAAAUUAUGCCUCUCCUAAAAGGAGUAAGACAGUAAUAAAAAUAAUUAAUGUACAUAAUAAUAACUAUAAUAAACUAUACAAUGUUUAUUACAAUUUUUAUGCAAUAACAGAGUUCACAGUGAUC